CGAUUGGAGGGCAAGUCUGGUGCCAGCAGCCGCGGUAAUUCCAGCUCCAAUAGCGUAUAUUAAAGUUGUUGCAGUUAAAAAGCUCGUAGUUGGAUGUAUGGCGGCGGGCGGGUGGUGUGCCGCGAGGCGCUACUGCCGGCCCGGGCCACGAUGCUGGGGACGGGCCCUUGCGGGUGCGGAACCAGGGGAUUACUUUGAAGAAAUUAGAGUGUUUAAAGCGGGCGAUAGCUUGAAUACAUUAGCAUGGAAUAAUGGGAUAGGACUGCGGUCUUAUUUUGUUGGUUUGAGGGCAGCAGUAAUGAUUAAUAGGGAUAGUUGGGGGCAUUUGUAUUCAGUAGUCAGAGGUGAAAUUCUUGGAUUUACUGAAGACAGACUAGUGCGAAAGCAUUUGCCAAGGAUGUUUUCAUUAAUCAAGAACGAAAGUUAGGGGAUCGAAGACGAUUAGAUACCGUCGUAGUCUUAACCAUAAACUAUGCCGACUAGAGAUUGGCGGAUGUCGUUAGCGACGCCGUCAGCAUCUUACGAAG
RNAcentral lists this ribosomal RNA (527 nucleotides) under uncultured eukaryote. RNAcentral's name for it is "SSU rRNA". It matches the Rfam family "Eukaryotic small subunit ribosomal RNA", at positions 545 to 1095 of the family's 1831-position model. The record is from RNAcentral.